GCUGGGUGUGGUGGUGCACACCUAUAAUCCUAGCAACUCGGGAGGCUGAGGAAGGAGAAUAUCAAGUUUGAGACCAACCUCAGCAACUUAGUGAGGCCCUAAACAACUUAGUGAGACCCUGUCUCAA
This 127-nucleotide small RNA is filed under the name Marmota monax (woodchuck). Lineage: Eukaryota; Metazoa; Chordata; Mammalia; Rodentia; Sciuridae. The record is from RNAcentral.